UUUAUGGAGAGUUUGAUCCUGGCUCAGGAUGAACGCUGGCGGCGUGCCUAAUACAUGCAAGUCGAGCGAACGGACGAGAAGCUUGCUUCUCUGAUGUUAGCGGCGGACGGGUGAGUAACACGUGGAUAACCUACCUAUAAGACUGGGAUAACUUCGGGAAACCGGAGCUAAUACCGGAUAAUAUUUUGAACCGCAUGGUUCAAAAGUGAAAGACGGUCUUGCUGUCACUUAUAGAUGGAUCCGCGCUGCAUUAGCUAGUUGGUAAGGUAACGGCUUACCAAGGCAACGAUGCAUAGCCGACCUGAGAGGGUGAUCGGCCACACUGGAACUGAGACACGGUCCAGACUCCUACGGGAGGCAGCAGUAGGGAAUCUUCCGCAAUGGGCGAAAGCCUGACGGAGCAACGCCGCGUGAGUGAUGAAGGUCUUCGGAUCGUAAAACUCUGUUAUUAGGGAAGAACAUAUGUGUAAGUAACUGUGCACAUCUUGACGGUACCUAAUCAGAAAGCCACGGCUAACUACGUGCCAGCAGCCGCGGUAAUACGUAGGUGGCAAGCGUUAUCCGGAAUUAUUGGGCGUAAAGCGCGCGUAGGCGGUUUUUUAAGUCUGAUGUGAAAGCCCACGGCUCAACCGUGGAGGGUCAUUGGAAACUGGAAAACUUGAGUGCAGAAGAGGAAAGUGGAAUUCCAUGUGUAGCGGUGAAAUGCGCAGAGAUAUGGAGGAACACCAGUGGCGAAGGCGACUUUCUGGUCUGUAACUGACGCUGAUGUGCGAAAGCGUGGGGAUCAAACAGGAUUAGAUACCCUGGUAGUCCACGCCGUAAACGAUGAGUGCUAAGUGUUAGGGGGUUUCCGCCCCUUAGUGCUGCAGCUAACGCAUUAAGCA
Molecule: ribosomal RNA, 884 nt
Filed under: Staphylococcus aureus
Lineage: Bacteria; Bacillati; Bacillota; Bacilli; Caryophanales; Staphylococcaceae
Description: bacterial SSU rRNA
Rfam family: Bacterial small subunit ribosomal RNA
Source: RNAcentral